This 433-nucleotide ribosomal RNA is filed under the name uncultured bacterium. RNAcentral's name for it is "partial 16S ribosomal RNA". It matches the Rfam family "Bacterial small subunit ribosomal RNA", at positions 29 to 507 of the family's 1533-position model. The record is from RNAcentral.
AGCGAACGCUGGCGGCAGGCCUAACACAUGCAAGUCGAACGAACUCUUCGGAGUUAGUGGCGGACGGGUGAGUAACACGUGGGAACGUUCCUUUAGGUUCGGAAUAACUCAGGGAAACUUGUGCUAAUACCGAAUGUGCCCUUCGGGGGAAAGAUUUAUCGCCUUUAGAGCGGCCCGCGUCUGAUUAGCUAGUUGGUGAGGUAAAGGUUCACCAAGGCGACGAUCAGUAGCUGGUCUGAGAGGAUGAUCAGCCACAUUGGGACUGAGACACGGCCCAAACUCCUACGGGAGGCAGCAGUGGGGAAUCUUGCGCAAUGGGCGAAAGCCUGACGCAGCCAUGCCGCGUGAAUGAUGAAGGUCUUAGGAUUGUAAAAUUCUUUCACCGGGGACGAUAAUGACGGUACCCGGAGAAGAAGCCCCGGCUAACUUCGUG